UAAUACGAAGGGGGCAAGCGUUGUUCGGAAUGACUGGGCGUAAAGGGCGCGUAGGCGGUGCGUUGCGUCAGAUGUGAAAUCCCCGGGCUCAACCUGGGAAUGGCAUUUGAUACGGGCGUACUGGAAUCCGUGAGAGGUUGGUGGAAUUCCCAGUGUAGAGGUGAAAUUCGUAGAUAUUGGGAAGAACACCAGUGGCGAAGGCGGCCAACUGGCACGGUAUUGACGCUGAGGCGCGAAAGCGUGGGGAGCAAACAGGAUUAGAUACCCUGGUAGUCCACGCCGUAAACGAUGUGUGCUAGCCGUCGGGCAGCUUGCUGUUCGGUGGCGCAGCUAACGCGAUAAGCACACCGCCUGGGGAGUACGGUCGCAAGAUUA
This 375-nucleotide ribosomal RNA is filed under the name uncultured bacterium. Its description in RNAcentral is "bacterial SSU rRNA". It matches the Rfam family "Bacterial small subunit ribosomal RNA", at positions 521 to 896 of the family's 1533-position model. The record is from RNAcentral.